RNAcentral lists this ribosomal RNA (484 nucleotides) under uncultured bacterium. RNAcentral's name for it is "bacterial SSU rRNA". It matches the Rfam family "Bacterial small subunit ribosomal RNA", at positions 28 to 507 of the family's 1533-position model. The record is from RNAcentral.
GACGAACGCUGGCGGCGUGCCUAACACAUGCAAAGGUCGAACGGAACUGGUUUUGAAAGAUUUCUUCGGAAUGAAUUUGAUUUAGUUUAGUGGCGGACGGGUGAGUAACGCGUGAGUAACCUGCCUUCAAAGGGGGAUAACAUUCUGAAAAGAAUGCUAAUACCGCAUGACAUAUCGGAACCACAUGGUUCUGAUAUCAAAGAUUUUAUCGCUUGAAGAUGGACUCGCGUCCGAUUAGUUAGUUGGUGAGGUAACGGCUCACCAAGACCGCGAUCGGUAGCCGGACUGAGAGGUUGAACGGCCACAUUGGGACUGAGACACGGCCCAGACUCCUACGGGAGGCAGCAGUGGGGGAUAUUGCGCAAUGGGGGCAACCCUGACGCAGCAACGCCGCGUGAAGGAUGAAGGUUUUCGGAUUGUAAACUUCUUUUAUUAAGGACGAAAAUUGACGGUACUUAAUGAAUAAGCUCCGGCUAACUACGUG